This 851-nucleotide ribosomal RNA is filed under the name uncultured Prevotella sp. RNAcentral's name for it is "bacterial SSU rRNA". It matches the Rfam family "Bacterial small subunit ribosomal RNA", at positions 651 to 1512 of the family's 1533-position model. Lineage: Bacteria; Pseudomonadati; Bacteroidota; Bacteroidia; Bacteroidales; Prevotellaceae. The record is from RNAcentral.
CACAACGUAGGCGGAAUUCGUCGUGUAGCGGUGAAAUGCUUAGAUAUGACGAAGAACUCCGAUUGCGAAGGCAGCUUACGGGAGCACAACUGACGCUGAAGCUCGAAGGUGCGGGUAUCAAACAGGAUUAGAUACCCUGGUAGUCCGCACAGUAAACGCUGGAUGCCCGUUGUUAGUUCACCUAAGAAUUAGCGACCAAGCGAAAGCAUUAAGCAUCCCACCUGGGGAGUACGCCGGCAACGGUGAAACUCAAAGGAAUUGACGGGGGCCCGCACAAGCGGAGGAACAUGUGGUUUAAUUCGAUGAUACGCGAGGAACCUUACCCGGGCUUGAAUUGCAGACGAACGAUUCAGAGAUGAUGAGGCCCUUCGGGGCGUCUGUGAAGGUGCUGCAUGGUUGUCGUCAGCUCGUGCCGUGAGGUGUCGGCUUAAGUGCCAUAACGAGCGCAACCCCUUUUUUCAGUUGCCAUCAGGUAAUGCUGGGCACUCUGGAGAUACUGCCACCGUAAGGUGUGAGGAAGGUGGGGAUGACGUCAAAUCAGCACGGCCCUUACGUCCGGGGCUACACACGUGUUACAAUGGCCGGUACAGAGAGUUGGUUGUAUGCAAAUACGAUCUAAUCCUUAAAGCCGGUCCCAGUUCGGACUGGGGUCUGCAACCCGACCCCACGAAGCUGGAUUCGCUAGUAAUCGCGCAUCAGCCAUGGCGCGGUGAAUACGUUCCCGGGCCUUGUACACACCGCCCGUCAAGCCAUGAAAGCCGGGGGUGCCUGAAGUCUGUGACCGCAAGGAACGGCCUAGGGCAAAACUGGUGAUUGGGGCUAAGUCGUAACAAGGUAGCCGUACCGGAAGG